This 468-nucleotide ribosomal RNA is filed under the name uncultured bacterium. RNAcentral describes it as "partial 16S ribosomal RNA". It matches the Rfam family "Bacterial small subunit ribosomal RNA", at positions 28 to 507 of the family's 1533-position model. The record is from RNAcentral.
GACGAACGCUGGCGGCGUGCUUAACACAUGCAAGUCGAACGGAAAGGCCCUGCUUUUGUGGGGUGCUCGAGUGGCGAACGGGUGAGUAACACGUGAGUAACCUGCCCUUGACUUUGGGAUAACUUCAGGAAACUGGGGCUAAUACCGGAUAGGAGCUCCUGCUGCAUGGUGGGGGUUGGAAAGUUUCGGCGGUUGGGGAUGGACUCGCGGCUUAUCAGCUUGUUGGUGGGGUAGUGGCUUACCAAGGCUUUGACGGGUAGCCGGCAUGAGAGGGUGACCGGCCACAUUGGGACUAAGAUACGGACCAGUCGCGUACGGGAGGCAGCAGGGGGAAAUAUUGCACAAUGGGCGCAAGUCUGUUGCAGCAACGCCGCGUGCGGGAUGACGGCCUUCGGGUUGUAAACCGCUUUCGCCUGUGACGAAGCGUGAGUGACGGUAAUGGGUAAAGAAGCACCGGCUAACUACGUG